AUUGAGAUAAAUUUUAUGAUUACAUUACAAGUCUAAUAGAAACCGACUAAAAAUGUCGAUCAAGCUGAAUGAUGAUGGUUACUCUGUUGAGACUUUAUCUUCAAACUGACAACUUAGCAAGGCUUCUUAGGCGGUCUGAGAAGUACUUCAAGCUGUUGCAGUCAGCCUCACUUUGGGUUUGGGAAGACACUGAUGCUCGCAUGUCAUGGAAUCUUCAACAGCAUAUAUUUACAAAAUUCAUCUACAACAACAUAUAUAAAAUAAAACCCUCUCUCUCUCAUAAGGGGUAACAAUCUUUGUCUUUAAGGAUGAUAUUUUGAGAGCAAUUUUUGUGUGAGUUUUGUGUAACCGCGUGAGAAUUCGUAUCAAAUCUAAGUUUUCAAUUUGAAUUAGAUUGGUAAGAAUUGUAAAUGUGUUCUUCACCCGCUUUAGAAUCUGUACUGUAAUUUUCCAUUGAUGAAAUGAAAUUUUACAUUCCAUUGAUUAUGUUGUUUUAGGGUUUUAAUUGAUUAUUGUUCCAUUAUUAGUUUGUAUUAUCUACAACUCAAUUAAUUCAUCAGGAACCAACACUAUGAAUGUAUAGUAUAAACUUCUUGUAUUGAAUCCAAGUGACUAUUUUGUUGCUUAUCCUCUAUAUGGUAAUAUGGCCUUGUACUUGUUCUAUAACCGUGUUACAGUUAAGAUGUUUCAAGUGUCAAUGUAGUGCCCUAAGCAUCCACAAUAUUUUUUACAGGAUAAUUCAAUUGGUUUGGUGGUUAUUUAUGAUUAUUGUCUCCUUGAUCAAUCACAUAAUAAGAACGAGACCCUUCCCGGAGGUUGGAGUCUCAGUUCGCCCCACCUGUGUUUCGAGAAACAGGUAAUUUUCCAAAGAAUAGUGAAAGACUUUUUUACUUUUUAUUUCAUGCCAUAAGAAAUAUACGUUCCUAUGGGGCAUUAUUUAUAAUGUCCAGCUCAACCUAAACAGAUCCUUAAUAACAGAAAUCCUAAACAAAAUCCAAAGACCAAAUCGACUGGGAUGGAAAACAAUUAUACAAGCUGAUCUAGGUUACAUACUUUAAUUAUACAAGCUGAUCUAUGUUACAUACUUUUGUAAACAGGCUUAUAAGCUGUUGGAAUCAGGAUAAGGUCGUUUUUUCUUCCAACGGUUACACCAAAGGCUUCAGUCAUAUCAAGAUCCUUGUUGUCUGUUCCAUCUGCCAGUUUCCAGUCAAAAUGGUAGAGUAAAGAUGCCAAUGGAAGCUCAACAUUUGCUAAUCCGUAUGAAAUCCCAGGACAUAUUCUCCUUCCAGCUCCAAAAG
This 1298-nucleotide long non-coding RNA is filed under the name Lactuca sativa (garden lettuce). Its description in RNAcentral is "long non-coding RNA (LSAT_LNC004791)". Lineage: Eukaryota; Viridiplantae; Streptophyta; Magnoliopsida; Asterales; Asteraceae. The record is from RNAcentral.